CCUACGGGCGGCACCAGUGGGGAAUAUUGGACAAUGGGCGAAAGCCUGAUCCAGCAAUGCCGCGUGUGUGAAGAAGGUCUUCGGAUUGUAAAGCACUUUCGACGGGGACGACGAUGAUGGUACCCGUAGAAGAAGCCCCGGCUAACUUCGUGCCAGCAGCCGCGGUAAUACGAAGGGGGCUAGCGUUGCUCGGGAUGACUGGGCGUAAAGGGCGCGUAGGCGGUUUAUGCAGUCAGAUGUGAAAUCCCCGGGCUUAACCUGGAACUGCAUUUGAGACGCAUAGACUAGAGGUCGAGAGAGGGUUGUGGAAUUCCCAGUGUAGAGGUGAAAUUCGUAGAUAUUGGGAAGAACACCGGUGGCGAAGGCGGCAGCCUGGCUCGAUACUGACGCUGAGGCGCGAAAGCGUGGGGAGCAAACAGGAUUAGAUACCCGCGUAGUC
Molecule: ribosomal RNA, 439 nt
Filed under: uncultured bacterium
Lineage: Bacteria
Description: bacterial SSU rRNA
Rfam family: Bacterial small subunit ribosomal RNA
Source: RNAcentral